This 318-nucleotide long non-coding RNA is filed under the name Setaria viridis. RNAcentral describes it as "long non-coding RNA (SVIR_LNC004630)". Lineage: Eukaryota; Viridiplantae; Streptophyta; Magnoliopsida; Poales; Poaceae. The record is from RNAcentral.
UUGAGAUACAUGAAAGAUGUCAUGGAUAGCGGAGAGUCGGGGUGGAAGUUUUACUCGAUAGGCAAUGGGUCCACAGAUUUCCGUGAUCUCAUAGGGACCAAUAUAUCGAGGAGCUAAUUUUCCUUUUACUCCAAACCUCAUCACACCCUUGGUUGGUGAAACCCGAAGGUAUACAUGGUCACCAUCUUUGAAUUGAAGUGGUUUCCUCCUCUUGUCGAAAUAGCUCUUUUGCCUAGAUUGGGCGGCUUUAAGGUUUUCUCUUAUUAUUCUCACCUUCUCUUCCACCUCAAUUACCAAAUCAGGCCCAUAUACUUUUCG